This 474-nucleotide ribosomal RNA is filed under the name uncultured bacterium. RNAcentral's name for it is "bacterial SSU rRNA". It matches the Rfam family "Bacterial small subunit ribosomal RNA", at positions 30 to 524 of the family's 1533-position model. The record is from RNAcentral.
AUUGAACGCUGGCGGCAUGCCUUACACAUGCAAGUCGAACGGUAACGCGGGGCAACCUGGCGACGAGUGGCGAACGGGUGAGUAAUACAUCGGAACGUGCCCAGUAGUGGGGGAUAGCCCGGCGAAAGCCGGAUUAAUACCGCAUACGACCUACGGGUGAAAGCAGGGGAUCGCAAGACCUUGCGCUAUUGGAGCGGCCGAUGUCAGAUUAGGUUGUUGGUGGGGUAAAAGCCUACCAAGCCGACGAUCUGUAGCUGGUCUGAGAGGACGACCAGCCACACUGGGACUGAGACACGGCCCAGACUCCUACGGGAGGCAGCAGUGGGGAAUAUUGGACAAUGGGCGAAAGCCUGAUCCAGCAAUGCCGCGUGAGUGAUGAAGGCCUUAGGGUUGUAAAGCUCUUUUACCAGGGAUGAUAAUGACAGUACCUGGAGAAUAAGCUCCGGCUAACUCCGUGCCAGCAGCCGCGGUAAU